UGACAACUCGAAAUGAUGUUUAAAUAAUAUUGUAAAAUAACUCAGAUACCUUUGCAAACAUAAUCUUAGUAAGGUUAUCUAGACGAUUGUAUAAUCUAGAUGUAUAGUCUAGAGAGUCCAGAGCUCAGAGUCAGUUCAAAUAAAACUAUUUAACUAAAAUGCUCCUCAAUUUUUCAAUUCUUCCCGGACAAACAUCAUCCAGUUGAAGCGAACCCUAAUCCGAAUCCGAUUCGAAUGACUAAAGAUAAUGGUCGCCCAUAAGAAGAAUGUACUGAAGAUGUUAUUGCUGUCAUAAAUGACUAUUAGCAUCAAUAGAACCCAUAAAUCGGUUGCUCAUUGAGUCUUUUCGUAAAGAGACCAAGAUAUUUUCGAUCGCUAGCCUUGCCUUCGUCACCUCAAGCCCCUUGGCUUGCUCCUUGCAGCGAAAUUCUGCCUUCUUCAUUCGAAAGUACCUUAUGCGCUCAUCAUAGUUAUCGCCCUCGCCGCCGCCCGUCGUCCCACCUCCUCCCCCACCUUGAACAUCCGUUGGCGUUGUGGCUGUUGCCUGCGGCGCAGGCACAGUAAGAGAAAACAGCUAUAAGGUGUUAGGUACAUACCCAUCCUAUUAGGAAAUACUAUAGGCCAAUUUGUACAAUUUGCAAAUAAUGCAUACAAUGAAGUUAUGUAACAUAUAUGCAUUCAAUUAUUGAAGGAUUUGUUAACGUCGAAUAAUCAUGAAUUUAAAAUAAAUUGUGAAGUAAUGUGCACUUGA
Drosophila nasuta is the source of this 751-nucleotide long non-coding RNA. RefSeq lists it as uncharacterized. The record is from RefSeq and is a predicted model, not a curated record. Lineage: Eukaryota; Metazoa; Arthropoda; Insecta; Diptera; Drosophilidae. The transcript has 2 exons.